AUUGAACGCUGGCGGCAUGCCUUACACAUGCAAGUCGAACGGCAGCACGGGUGCUUGCACCUGGUGGCGAGUGGCGAACGGGUGAGUAAUACAUCGGAACAUGUCCUGUAGUGGGGGAUAGCCCGGCGAAAGCCGGAUUAAUACCGCAUACGAUCUACGGAUGACAGCGGGGGACCUUCGGGCCUCGCGCUAUAGGGUUGGCCGAUGGCUGAUUAGCUAGUUGGUGGGGUAAAGGCCUACCAAGGCGACGAUCAGUAGCUGGUCUGAGAGGACGAUCAGCCACACUGGGACUGAGACACGGCCCAGACUCCUACGGGAGGCAGCAGUGGGGAAUUUUGGACAAUGGGCGAAAGCCUGAUCCAGCAAUGCCGCGUGUGUGAAGAAGGCCUUCGGGUUGUAAAGCACUUUUGUCCGGAAAGAAAUCCUUGGCCCUAAUACGGUCGGGGGAUGACGGUACCGGAAGAAUAAGCACCGGCUAACUACGUG
This 486-nucleotide ribosomal RNA is filed under the name uncultured bacterium. RNAcentral describes it as "partial 16S ribosomal RNA". It matches the Rfam family "Bacterial small subunit ribosomal RNA", at positions 30 to 507 of the family's 1533-position model. The record is from RNAcentral.